GCUCCCAUGGUGUAGUGGUCACUGCACUCGCCUUGCACGCGGGAGACCCGGGUUCGAUUUCCGGCGGGGUCA
RNAcentral lists this transfer RNA (72 nucleotides) under Diaphorina citri (Asian citrus psyllid). It matches the Rfam family "tRNA". Rfam says of the family: Transfer RNA (tRNA) molecules are approximately 80 nucleotides in length. Their secondary structure includes four short double-helical elements and three loops (D, anti-codon, and T loops). Lineage: Eukaryota; Metazoa; Arthropoda; Insecta; Hemiptera; Psyllidae. The record is from Rfam by way of RNAcentral.